GCAGUCGAACGAUACUCUUUAGCUUGCUAGAGAGGAAAGUGGCGCACGGGUGCGUAACGCGUAUGCAACCUACCUUAAUCAGGGGGAUAGCCCGAAGAAAUUCGGAUUAACACCGCAUAAAAUCACAGUACAGCAUUGUACAAUGAUCAAAUAUUUAUAGGAUUAAGAUGGGCAUGCGUGACAUUAGUUAGUUGGCGGGGUAACGGCCCACCAAGACCACGAUGUCUAGGGGAUCUGAGAGGAUGACCCCCCACACUGGUACUGAGACACGGACCAGACUCCUACGGGAGGCAGCAGUAAGGAAUAUUGGUCAAUGGAGGCAACUCUGAACCAGCCAUGCCGCGUGCAGGAAGACAGCCCUCUGGGUCGUAAACUGCUUUUAUUCGGGAAUAAACCUACUUACGUGUAAUUUGCUGAAUGUACCGAAGGAAUAAGGAUCGGCUAACUCCGUGCCAGCAGCCGCGGUAAUACGGAGGAUCCAAGCGUUAUCCGGAUUUAUUGGGUUUAAAGGGUGCGUAGGCGGCUUUUUAAGUCAGGGGUGAAAGACGGUGGCUCAACCAUCGCAGUGCCCUUGAUACUGAAGAGCUUGAAUGAAUUAGAGGUAGGCGGAAUGUGACAAGUAGCGGUGAAAUGCAUAGAUAUGUCACAGAACACCGAUUGCGAAGGCAGCUUACUAUGAUUUUAUUGACGCUGAGGCACGAAAGCGUGGGGAUCAAACAGGAUUAGAUACCCUGGUAGUCCACGCCCUAAACGAUGAAUACUCGCUGUUAGCGAUACACAGUUAGCGGCUAAGCGAAAGCGUUAAGUAUUCCACCUGGGGAGUACGGUCGCAAGAUUGAAACUCAAAGGAAUUGACGGGGGCCCGCACAAGCGGAGGAGCAUGUGGUUUAAUUCGAUGAUACGCGAGGAACCUUACCCGGGCUUGAAAGUUAGUGAAUCAUUUAGAGAUAGAUGAGUCCGCAAGGACACGAAACUAGGUGCUGCAUGGCUGUCGUCAGCUCGUGCCGUGAGGUGUUGGGUUAAGUCCCGCAACGAGCGCAACCCCUAUGUUUAGUUGCCAGCACGUUAUGGUGGGGACUCUAAACAGACUGCCUGUGCAAACAGAGAGGAAGGAGGGGACGACGUCAAGUCAUCAUGGCCCUUACGUCCGGGGCUACACACGUGCUACAAUGGAUGGUACAGAGGGCAGCAAGCUGGUAACAGCAAGCAAAUCUCCAAAAGCCAUUCACAGUUCGGAUAGAGGUCUGCAACUCGACCUCUUGAAGUUGGAUUCGCUAGUAAUCGUAUAUCAGCAAUGAUACGGUGAAUACGUUCCCGGGCCUUGUACACACCGCCCGUCAAGCCAUGGAAGUUGGGGGUA
This 1360-nucleotide ribosomal RNA is filed under the name Pedobacter sp. RNAcentral describes it as "bacterial SSU rRNA". It matches the Rfam family "Bacterial small subunit ribosomal RNA", at positions 57 to 1419 of the family's 1533-position model. The record is from RNAcentral. Lineage: Bacteria; Pseudomonadati; Bacteroidota; Sphingobacteriia; Sphingobacteriales; Sphingobacteriaceae.